Molecule: ribosomal RNA, 1259 nt
Filed under: metagenome
Description: bacterial SSU rRNA
Rfam family: Bacterial small subunit ribosomal RNA
Source: RNAcentral
AGUUUGUUGGUGGGGUAAAGGCCUACCAAGACGAAGAUCCGUAGCUGGUCUGAGAGGACGAUCAGCCACACUGGAACUGAGACACGGUCCAGACUCCUACGGGAGGCAGCAGUGGGGAAUAUUGGACAAUGGGCGAAAGCCUGAUCCAGCAAUACCGUGUGAACGAUGAAGGCCCUUGGGUCGUAAAGUUCUUUUAGUGGGGAGGAAUGUGACGUUACCCACAGAAAAAGCACCGGCUAACUCCGUGCCAGCAGCCGCGGUAAUACGGAGGGUGCGAGCGUUGUUCGGAAUUAUUGGGCGUAAAGGGUACGUAGGCGGUCUAUUAAGUUACUUGUAAAAUCUUAGGUCUCAAGCCUAAAACUGCACGUAAUACUGGUAGACUAGAGUUUGAUAGGGGAUAACGGAAUUCCUAGUGUAAGGGUGAAAUCUGUAGAUAUUAGGAAGAACACCAGUGGCGAAGGCGGUUAUCUUGGUCAACACUGACGCUGAGGUACGAAAGCGUGGGUAGCAAAUAGGAUUAGAGACCCUAGUAGUCCACGCCGUAAACGAUGAGUGCUAGGUGUCUGGAGCUUGUCUUUGGGCGCUGAAGCUAACGCGUUAAGCACUCCGCCUGGGUAGUACGGUCGCAAGACUAAAACUCAAAGGAAUUGACGGGGAUCUGCACAAGCGGUGGAGCAUGUUGUUUAAUGCGAUUUUACGCGCAGAACCUUACCUACUCUUGAAUCUCGGUUGCGAUUUCCAGAGAUGGAAAUUCCAGUUCGGCUGGACCGAUGACAGGUGUUGCAUGGCUGUUGUCAGCUCGUGCUGUGAGGUGUUAGGUUAAGUCCUUUAACGAGCGCAACCCCUAUCCUUAUUUGCCAGCGAGUUAUGUCGGGAACUAUAAGGAAACUGCCGGUGAUAAACCGGAGGAAGGUGGGGAUGACUUCAAGUCUUCAUGUCCCUUAUGGGUAGGGCUACAAACAUGCUACAAUGGGAGUUACAAUGGGUAGCGAAGGAGCGAUCCGGAGCCAAUCCACAGAAGCUCUCUCAGUUCGGAUUGCAGGCUGCAACUCGCCUGCAUGAAGUUGGAAUCGCUAGUAAUCGCGGAUCAGCACGCCGCGGUGAAUACGUUCACGGAUCUUGUACACACUGCCCGUCACACCAUGAAAGUUUACUUUACCUUAAGUUAGUGAGCUAACCUUCGGGAGGCAGCUAACCACGGUAGGGUAGGUGAUUGGGGUUAAGUCGUAACAAGGUAACGGUAGGGGAAUCUGCAGUUG